Molecule: non-coding RNA, 23 nt
Filed under: Drosophila melanogaster (fruit fly)
Lineage: Eukaryota; Metazoa; Arthropoda; Insecta; Diptera; Drosophilidae
Also listed under: 1 other name
Source: RNAcentral
CUUUUACUAAAGAUUUCCGUGGA